UCCCAUCCUUUUGGACUAGCCUCAUAAUU
RNAcentral lists this non-coding RNA (29 nucleotides) under Mus musculus (house mouse). The record is from RNAcentral. RNAcentral also lists the same sequence under 1 other name. Lineage: Eukaryota; Metazoa; Chordata; Mammalia; Rodentia; Muridae.